GUGCCAGCAGCCGCGGUAAUACCGGCAGCUCAAGUGAUGGCCCCUAUUAUUGGGCCUAAAGCGUCCGUAGCUGGCCGCGCAAGUCCGUCGGGAAAUCCAUCAGCCCAACUGAUGGGCGUCCGGCGGAAACUGCACGGCUUGGGACCGGAAGACUCGAGAGGUACGUCCGGGGUAGGAGUGAAAUCCCAUAAUCCCGCACGGACCACCGAUGGCGAAAGCACUUCGAGAAAACGGAUCCGACAGUGAGGGACGAAAGCCAGGGUCUCCAACCGGAUGAGAUACCCCUGUAGUCC
This 293-nucleotide ribosomal RNA is filed under the name uncultured bacterium. RNAcentral's name for it is "partial 16S ribosomal RNA". It matches the Rfam family "Archaeal small subunit ribosomal RNA", at positions 455 to 747 of the family's 1478-position model. The record is from RNAcentral.